GAAGGUAUAGCUCAGUGGUAGAGUGCAUGCCUAGCAUGUAUGAGGUCCUGGGUUCAAUCUUCAGUAUCUCCA
Molecule: transfer RNA, 72 nt
Filed under: Camelus bactrianus (Bactrian camel)
Lineage: Eukaryota; Metazoa; Chordata; Mammalia; Artiodactyla; Camelidae
Also listed under: 2 other names
Rfam family: tRNA
About the family: Transfer RNA (tRNA) molecules are approximately 80 nucleotides in length. Their secondary structure includes four short double-helical elements and three loops (D, anti-codon, and T loops).
Source: Rfam by way of RNAcentral